GCGGUGGUAGUAUAGUGGUUAGUAUGGGGCGUUGCCAACGCUCCGACCCGGGUUCAAACCCCGGCCACCGCA
This 72-nucleotide transfer RNA is filed under the name Nanobdellota archaeon. Its description in RNAcentral is "tRNA-Gly". It matches the Rfam family "tRNA". Rfam says of the family: Transfer RNA (tRNA) molecules are approximately 80 nucleotides in length. Their secondary structure includes four short double-helical elements and three loops (D, anti-codon, and T loops). Further hydrogen bonds mediate the characteristic L-shaped molecular structure. tRNAs have two regions of fundamental functional importance: the anti-codon, which is responsible for specific mRNA codon recognition, and the 3' end, to which the tRNAs corresponding amino acid is attached (by aminoacyl-tRNA synthetases). tRNAs cope with the degeneracy of the genetic code in two manners: having more than one tRNA (with a specific anti-codon) for a particular amino acid; and 'wobble' base-pairing, i.e. permitting non-standard base-pairing at the 3rd anti-codon position. Lineage: Archaea; Nanobdellati; Nanobdellota. The record is from RNAcentral.